Molecule: ribosomal RNA, 347 nt
Filed under: Listeria booriae
Lineage: Bacteria; Bacillati; Bacillota; Bacilli; Caryophanales; Listeriaceae
Description: bacterial SSU rRNA
Rfam family: Bacterial small subunit ribosomal RNA
Source: RNAcentral
UUUAAAGAGAGUUUGAUCCUGGCUCAGGACGAACGCUGGCGGCGUGCCUAAUACAUGCAAGUCGAACGAACGGAGGAAGAGCUUGCUCUUCCAAAGUUAGUGGCGGACGGGUGAGUAACACGUGGGCAACCUGCCUGUAAGUUGGGGAUAACUCCGGGAAACCGGGGCUAAUACCGAAUGAUAAGGAGUGACGCAUGUCACUGCUUUGAAAGAUGGUUUCGGCUAUCGCUUACAGAUGGGCCCGCGGUGCAUUAGCUAGUUGGUAGGGUAAAGGCCUACCAAGGCAACGAUGCAUAGCCGACCUGAGAGGGUGAUCGGCCACACUGGGACUGAGACACGGCCCAGAC